Molecule: ribosomal RNA, 498 nt
Filed under: uncultured bacterium
Lineage: Bacteria
Description: partial 16S ribosomal RNA
Rfam family: Bacterial small subunit ribosomal RNA
Source: RNAcentral
GACGAACGCUGGCGGCGUGCCUAACACAUGCAAGUCGAACGAGAGCGACCGGUGCUUGCCCUGGUCAAUCUAGUGGCGCACGGGAGUAUAACACGAGGGUAACGUGCCCCUCAGAGGGGGAUCACCUUCGAAAACGGAUGCUUACAGCGCAUAGGUCUUCGAACCGCAGGGUUUGUAGUAGAGAAGCGGCGCAAGGUUCUGGUGACGGAUGGAACCGCGGUGCUUGAGCUAGUUGGUGGGGUAACGGCUCUCACGGGCCGGGAUGCAUAGCCGACCUGAGAGGGGGAUCGGCCACAUGGGGACUGAGACACGGCCGUAACUCCUGCGGUAAGCAGCAGUAGGGAAUCUUACGCAAUGGACGCGAGUCUGACAGAGCAACGCGGCGUGAGUUAAGAAGGUGUUCGGAUCGGAAAGCGCUGUUGUUAGUGGAGAAUAAGUGCUAGAUUAACUGUUAAGGCCUUGACGGUAUCUAACCAGAAAGCCACGGCUAACUACGUG